This 3988-nucleotide unclassified non-coding RNA is filed under the name Homalodisca vitripennis (glassy-winged sharpshooter). RNAcentral's name for it is "putative ATPase N2B, transcript variant X3". The record is from RNAcentral. Lineage: Eukaryota; Metazoa; Arthropoda; Insecta; Hemiptera; Cicadellidae.
GGGCUGGGCAUUGCAGACGACGUUAGAAGACUCGGUGUUGUGCUUUGUGGGUUAAGUGCCAACCUAGGGUGGCAAGAAUGGAUAUGAUAUCAGAAUAGGAAGUUAACCUUCAGUUUAAAUUGAAACAAAAUGAUAAAUUUUUAGUUCGUUUUUUUAAAUUUUAUUGGAGUGAGUGAAAUGAAGAGUAAAACGAUUGAGCUUUUUAUAGAAAACAUAGCCUAAUUACUCAGUUUUUGUUAAACUAAUGUAAAAUAUCUUCAUGUACUUUGAAGGUUAUUAUUUUUAAUGAAUUUAAAAUUGUAAGUGCUGACAUUUAAAAAAGUAUUUGUGUCCUACCGUUUUAAAUUUAAUCAUGGUAAUUGCAAGACCUUUUUCUCCUGUAAUUAUUAGGGGCACAAAGACAUUUUGUAGAAUACAUGGCAUAUCUUUUUACAAAAAGUUAAAUGGGUGCAAAUAUACUUUGUUUUGCAACAUUCAAAGACACUUUGCAGAUACAGUGUCAGCCAGUCAACAAGGACCAGUGCAUGAUUUAAAUAAAAAGAUAUCAAACAAGGAACUGUUACCUGAUGAACACCAAUUGCGCAUUGCUAAAGAUCUCCAAAGGGUAUUCAAUGAUAUAAAAGCUUAUUCACCACCAAGUGAUAGCAUUUUCACAAAAUUAUUUGGAAAAAAAGUAAAAAAAGGUUUUCCGAAAGGACUGUAUAUACAUGGUGCUGUUGGAGGUGGAAAAACAAUGCUCAUGGAUAUGUUCUAUCAUUGCGUUGAGAGCAGCAGUAAAAGAAGAGUACAUUUUCACGCUUUUAUGGUUGAUGUUCAUGCAAGAAUCCAUGAGGUCCGUAAGGACAUUGUUAGAGAUGUAACAAGCACAAAGCCACAACCAUUUGAUCCAAUACCUCCUGUAGCGAAAGCACUCAGUGAACAAGCUUGGAUGAUCUGUUUUGAUGAAUUUCAGGUAACAGACAUAGCAGAUGCGAUGAUUCUGAAAAGACUAUUCACAGAACUGUUUGAUCGUGGUGUGAUUGUUGUGGCAACCAGCAACCGACCUCCGGAUGAUCUUUACAAGAACGGAUUACAAAGGUCAAACUUUGUACCCUUCAUCCAGGUUCUCAAGGAUCACUGCGAGGUCUCCUGCCUGGAUUCCGGAAUCGACUACAGAGCCAAGGCGAACCCUGCCAGUGAGAAAACCUACUUUGUGAAAUCGGACAAGAACAAUGAUGCUGAAAGAGGAGUCAAUAAAAUAUUCAAAAUCCUAUGUGCCCAUGAAAUCGACAUCAUCAGGCCUCGAGUGUUGAAUAUCCAAGGUCGCAAUGUGACCUUUAAUAAGACUUGCGGCCAAGUGCUGGACAGUACAUUUGAGGAACUUUGUGACAGGCCACUCGGAGCUCACGACUAUCUACAAUUGUCACAGGCGUUCCACACCGUCAUCAUCAGAGACGUCCCCAUUCUGAGUCUCAAAAACCGGUCCCAAGUGCGCAGAUUCAUCACACUCAUAGACACACUCUAUGAUCAUAAGGUACGAGUGGUAAUAUCAGCUGAUGCACCACACAAAACACUCUUUGUCGCACACGGGGAUGAUGAAUACACAGAUGAGAAGAGGAUGCUCAUGGACGAUCUGAAUAUAACUCGUGGUUCGGAAAAUGCUACAGCUAAUAUUUUUACGGGAGACGAGGAGAUAUUUGCGUACGACAGAACAGUUUCUCGCCUUUCGGAGAUGCAAACAAUGGAAUACUGGCAACAGUGGGAUAAACUGAGAUGAAGGAAUAUUUAUUUGCCACAUAGACAACAGUACUUAGUAAUAAUUAGGUGUAUGGCGGCCUUAACCCACUUGUUCCAGGACCAUCAUCAAAAUCUUCAACAAAAGCUGGAAAUAAAUAAAAAACUGUAAAAUUCUGUAAUAAACCAUUUAUUUAUAAAAACACAAGGAUACAGGUUUUUAUUACUAUUAUGCUGAUAUUUGCUUUUUUUGGGUAAAAAUCACUGUCAACAAGUCCAUCGGUAGUAAAAUCAGGAUCAUUAUCUGUGUCACUUUGGAAUAAAUCAUCACUUUCACUGUCACGAUUUAUUGUAUUUACAAUAUUGUUGUAAACUAAAGUAAUAGCAAGCGAAUCAAUAACAAUGCAGGUGACGAAUUAGCAGAGAACGACAACAAAAGUCAGAGCAACUGCGACGUAACAACAAGUUCGUAAAAAACCACUUUUUUCUGAUAUUCCAGAUGACUGCCAACAACAUUUCCAUAGAUCAUAAUCCAUAGAGUAAGAAAUAAAAAAAUGGAAAUACCGAAUGACUUUCAAUGCCGUUUGAAUGCAUUUUUAUUACUGUAAAUGUCAGCACCGUCAAAAGACGUUUUCAUGUGUUUCAUGACUAAAGAAUUCCAUGUGCGACAUCAAAUGACAUUGUUGGCAGUGAAAGUGUUAAAGAUAUAAUUAACACAUCCAAAGUCUUUGUUUUAAGUUUGUUAUUCGUGAUGGAUGAUUUGAGAGUAUAAUAGUAUUUCAGACAUUUACCAUCAUAUAGAUAAAGAAUACAUAUGGAUUGUAUCUUUAAAAUAUCUCAUAAUUCUAUGACUAAAAAUGAAGCUGUGAAAGUGCAUGAGGUUUCACAUUAUUCUUAUAGGCCUGUAUUCAAGAUGGCCGCCAUUAAAACCACCACUUAAGUAUGUUUUUUUUUUAGGUCUUAACCCUCAUGUCUUCGUCUUCUACACUGGUUUCUUCCAUUUAUAUUUAUACAUUUAAGGAUGCUUCAUAGUCAAUUCUGUUCCAUCUUCCUAAUAAUGUAUAUUUUAUUAGAAUUUUCUUGAUCGUGCAAGAAUUUUAUUCAGGUGGUGGUAAAUAACUAAAAUUAUCUGCUAGUCCUCGGAACAGCCAAACCUUCUUUAAAAAAUAUAUCGUUGUAUCUUUAGAUAAAUAUCUCUAUCUUCUGAAAUUGUUUGUAUUGGGAAAAGAACAUUCAACUACAAGUAAAAUUAUAGAAUGGAAAGAGACCUGUAUAUUAAGACUUCUAGGCUGGCUUAGGUAAUUUGUUGAAAUCAACUAAAAAUCACAUAUUUUGCAUUAGCAACUGUCAACCUUGGGCUAAUAACAUCUUUUCUGGUUCACUCUGCUGCCUAUAAUUGUUUACAUAAUUAUAUUCUAGAAAUUUUUCGGUGUCGCUCUGGAUAGCCAUCCUCAACUAAUGUUAAACUGAAACUUUAAUAAAAAAGGCUUUGUUUGUACACAGGUGUGUUGAUCAAUAUGCCAACAACUGACUAUGAUCAAUAUACUUCAUUUCUUACAGACUGCCAGGUUUUCAUUAAUUUAAUUAUAUCUUCUUUAUUUUCUUUCUUGAUCGUUUCUAUGAUUUCUCUUAUUGUCAUUAGGUAAUAAUAUGGAAUUUUCACUAGUACUUGCAUGUUACUGUUGAUUCAAUACAAUGAUAGUUACCGCAUAAUUAUUGGCAUCAGCAAGGAGAGGAGCUGAAACUCUUAGGCUAGUUAAGUGUUCCAAUCCCUUGAAGAGGCAGGGCUGGCAGAAACACUGCAACUGAGAUUUUUCUCAGUAAGGUAAGAGUAGGGCAUACAAUAGAUCACAGUUGCACUGCACUUCUCUCCCCCCAAACUGAAUACAGCACAAUACCAUAAUAACUUACUUUAUUCUUACCUCUACCAUGUCAUGUCCUCGCUCAAGAGAUUUUCUUAUACACGUUUCAUAAAAACACAUGGAGGAUUAGGCUCCUUAUAUACUCCUACCAUUAGAUAUAGUGAACAUUAGAACAAAAUGGAAACAGCCUACUUAUAAUAUUAACAGCCAUUAGGUUUAGUUUAGCAUUGUAAAUUAAUAUAUAAGAAUCAUCAACAUUUUAAUAUACAUAUUGUAAUUUUAUAUUGAUAGUAUAAGAUGACAGUAAAUUAUUAGUGCAAACCCUGUAAGUGGUAAAAGUCAGUCAACUAACCAACGGAAAUGUAAUACUUGUGCUCCAUGAUUUUCAAACUAAGAUAAAUCCUUACAAGAGU